GGGAUAGCUCGAAGAAGCCUGUUCGUAGGGCGUCGGCUGAGCGAAACUCAAAACACGAACUGCGCUCGGAGAGACUCAGCUGGUCUUUCUUUCGGACGGGGGUUCGACUCCCCCCGCCUCCACCA
Molecule: transfer-messenger RNA, 125 nt
Filed under: Clostridiales bacterium
Lineage: Bacteria; Bacillati; Bacillota; Clostridia; Eubacteriales
Description: partial transfer-messenger RNA
Rfam family: transfer-messenger RNA
About the family: Bacterial tmRNA, also known as 10Sa RNA or SsrA, is named for its dual tRNA and mRNA-like properties.
Source: RNAcentral